UAUAACUGCGGGCCAGCAGCCGCGGGAAUGCGGAGGGUGGGAGUGUGAAUCAGAAUGAGUGGGCGGAAGGCGGGCGCAGGCGGGUUGGUAAGUCAGAUGUGAAAUCCCCGGGCUCAACCUGGGAACUGCAUUUGAGACUGCCAAGCUGGAGUUUGGCAGAGGGGGGUGGAAUUCCACGUGUAGCAGUGAAAUGCGUAGAGAUGUGGAGGAACACCGAUGGCGAAGGCAGCCCCCUGGGCCAAUACUGACGCUCAUGCACGAAAGCGUGGGGAGCAAACAGGAUUAGAUACCCCUGUAGUC
This 300-nucleotide ribosomal RNA is filed under the name uncultured Halogeometricum sp. RNAcentral's name for it is "bacterial SSU rRNA". It matches the Rfam family "Bacterial small subunit ribosomal RNA", at positions 496 to 795 of the family's 1533-position model. The record is from RNAcentral. Lineage: Archaea; Methanobacteriati; Methanobacteriota; Halobacteria; Halobacteriales; Haloferacaceae.